This 1370-nucleotide long non-coding RNA is filed under the name Macaca mulatta (Rhesus monkey). RNAcentral describes it as "lncRNA (ENSMMUG00000064058.1)". The record is from RNAcentral. Lineage: Eukaryota; Metazoa; Chordata; Mammalia; Primates; Cercopithecidae.
CUAAGGGACUGCGUGAGUUCGGCCGAGGGAACCGGGUCCAGGCGCUGUGAGGAGGCAAGGACCUAGGCACGUGUGGCCAGACGUGGGUCCCCUCCUGUCCUGUUCCUUAUCAGGGACGUGAGCACCUGAUCUGCAUUUCUUGGAGCAGCAAAAGGGUGGAAUUCAGGCCCUGCCAGGAAAAAGGUGAGGGCCCUGCGUGAGUACAGAGGGGACAAUCCACUCCAUGAGAGUGGGAACGUCACAGAGUCCAGUCCACCCUCCUGAUAGCACUGAGGGCCCAGGGCUGUGCUUGCAGUCUGCACCCUGAGGGCCCAUGGAUUCCUCUUCAAGGAGCUCCAGGAACCAGGCAGUGAGGCCUUGGUCUGAGACAGUGUCCUCAUGUCACAGAGCAGAGGAUGCACAGGCGGUGCCAGUAGCUAAUGUUUGCCCUGAAUGCACAUUAAGGGCCCCACCUGCCAUGGGACUCCAGAGAGUCUGGCCUCACCUCUCUACUGUGGUCAGUCCUGAAGAAUCGACCUCUGCUGGCCAGCUGUACCCUGAGGUGCCCUCUCAAUUCUUCCUUCAGGUUCUAAGGGAACAGGCCAACCCGGAGGACAGGAUUCCCUGGAGGCCACAGAGGAGCACCAAGGAGAAGAUCUACUAGUAAUUUCCAGUUUCUUCUCUACCAGUCUGGAUGCCCAUGGUGAACUUUAGAGAUAUCCACCAGCUUCAUCAAUUCCCUCAGUUACAUCUACCUAUCUUUUGAGCCCAGAUGAACCCAAUCAUGUGUGUUCUCCUCAGUCCCAGGCUGCUGAGCAACGCUGGAGAAAAAUCACAAAACUAUACGGUUUGGUGUCUCUCCAGAAUUAUGGUUUCCAGCUUGAGUUGGGAUUUCAGAAUUACUUCAAAAUGUUUAAAUUUGCUCCUGGUCAUUUUCCUCCUUCAGUUCCCAGUUUCAUUUAUCACUCUAUUUAACUUGUUAACCAUCGCUGUCUGCUAUUAACCUUGCCUCCUUUUACACAGAGAAAACAGAGGACAUCAAAUGGCAUUUCCCAUCACUCCACCUCUGUCAACGAAUCCACCAGUAACAUCUCAGAGAUCCUUCUGUCUAGCACUGAUGAUCUCCAAGAGGAUCUUAUUGUAUCAGUUACUCCUUCCUUCUGUAUUUUCAAUUUUCCUAUUGCCUCCCCAACAUGCUUUAGCUGUUCUCAUCUAAAGAAACAAUAAUAACAACCACAAUAAACUAACAAACAAUAAACCAUCUUUAACAGAUCUUACCUUUCCCUCUUUUGUGCCACCUUCAAGCUCCCUAAACUUGGAUUUAUUCCUCAACCCAUUACAAUCUGGUUUCUAAUUAAACAAUUUUUUGCCAGCGUCACCAAAAACUUCUG